RNAcentral lists this ribosomal RNA (468 nucleotides) under uncultured bacterium. RNAcentral's name for it is "partial 16S ribosomal RNA". It matches the Rfam family "Bacterial small subunit ribosomal RNA", at positions 28 to 507 of the family's 1533-position model. The record is from RNAcentral.
GACGAACGCUGGCGGCGUGCUUAACACAUGCAAGUCGAACGGAAAGGCCCUGCUUUUGUUGGGUUCUCGAGUGGCGAACGGGUGAGUAACACGUGAGUAACCUGCCCUUGACUUUUGUAUAACUUCACGAAACUGGGGCUCAUACCGGAUAGGAGCUCCUUCUGCAUGGUGGGGGUUGGAAAGUUUCGGCGGUUGGGGAUGGACUCGCGGCUUCUCAGCUUGUUGGUGGGGUAGUGGCUUACCAAGGCUUUGACGGGUAGCCGGCCUGAGAGGGUGACCGGCAACAUUGGGACUGAGAUACGGACCAGACUCGUACGGGAGGCAGCAGUGGGGAAUAUUGCACAAUGGGCGGAAGCCUGAUGCAGCAACGCCGCGUGCGGGAUGACGGCCUUCGGGUUGUAAACCGCUUUCGCCUGUGACGAGGCGUGAGUGACGGUAAUGGGUAAAGAAGCACCGGCUAACUACGUG